RNAcentral lists this ribosomal RNA (246 nucleotides) under uncultured phototrophic eukaryote. Its description in RNAcentral is "partial 16S ribosomal RNA". It matches the Rfam family "Bacterial small subunit ribosomal RNA", at positions 439 to 700 of the family's 1533-position model. The record is from RNAcentral.
UCAAGGAAGAAGUUCUGACGGUACUUGAGGAAUAAGCAUCGGCUAACUCUGUGCCAGCAGCCGCGGUAAUACAGAGGAUGCAAGCGUUAUCCGGAAUCACUGGGCAUAAAGCGUCUGUAGGUUGCCUGCCAAGUCUGCUGUUAAAGAUUAGGGCUUAACCCUGGGAAAGCAGUGGAAACUAGUAGGCUUGAGUGUGGUAGAGGUAGAGGGAAUUCCUAGUGUAGCGGUGAAAUGCGUAGAUAUUAG